RNAcentral lists this non-coding RNA (46 nucleotides) under Schistosoma mansoni. Lineage: Eukaryota; Metazoa; Platyhelminthes; Trematoda; Strigeidida; Schistosomatidae. The record is from RNAcentral.
GGACUGCUGAGGAGUCUCAAAAUAGGACGAAACAGCUGUCCAGUGC